This 82-nucleotide transfer RNA is filed under the name Leucobacter edaphi. It matches the Rfam family "tRNA". From Rfam's summary of the family: Transfer RNA (tRNA) molecules are approximately 80 nucleotides in length. Their secondary structure includes four short double-helical elements and three loops (D, anti-codon, and T loops). Further hydrogen bonds mediate the characteristic L-shaped molecular structure. tRNAs have two regions of fundamental functional importance: the anti-codon, which is responsible for specific mRNA codon recognition, and the 3' end, to which the tRNAs corresponding amino acid is attached (by aminoacyl-tRNA synthetases). tRNAs cope with the degeneracy of the genetic code in two manners: having more than one tRNA (with a specific anti-codon) for a particular amino acid; and 'wobble' base-pairing, i.e. permitting non-standard base-pairing at the 3rd anti-codon position. The record is from Rfam by way of RNAcentral. Lineage: Bacteria; Bacillati; Actinomycetota; Actinomycetes; Micrococcales; Microbacteriaceae.
GCCGGAUUGGCGGAAUUGGCAGACGCGGCGCACUCAAAAUGCGCUGCCGAAAGGCGUGCGGGUUCGAGUCCCGCAUCCGGCA